GUGCUCGCUUUGACAUCACAUAUACUAAAAUUGAAACAAUACAGAGAAGAUUAUUGUGGUCCCAGUGCAAGGAUGACAUGCAAAUUUGUGAAGUAUUCCAUAAAUUU
Molecule: small nuclear RNA, 107 nt
Organism: Cricetulus griseus (Chinese hamster)
Lineage: Eukaryota; Metazoa; Chordata; Mammalia; Rodentia; Cricetidae
Source: Ensembl